UACGGGGGGGGCAAGCGUUGUUCGGAAUUACUGGGCGUAAAGGGCUCGUAGGCGGCCAACUAAGUCGGAUGUGAAAUCCCCAAGCUUAACUUGGGAACUGCAUCCGAUACUGGAUGGCUUGAGUUUGGGAGAGGGAUGCGGAAUUCCAGGUGUAGCGGUGAAAUGCGUAGAUAUCUGGAGGAACACCGGUGGCGAAGGCGGCAUCCUGGACCAACACUGACGCUGAGUGAGCGAAAGCCAGGGGAGCAAACGGG
Molecule: ribosomal RNA, 254 nt
Filed under: uncultured bacterium
Lineage: Bacteria
Description: partial 16S ribosomal RNA
Rfam family: Bacterial small subunit ribosomal RNA
Source: RNAcentral